GGGCUGCAGGUCCCGAGCCCUGCCGCGCGGGAGGCGGCUGAGGCCCCGUGAGAAUUCGAGCGCCGCAGGGGCAGGCUGGCAGUGCUGGGGGACCCGGUGCACUCUCCGCAGCUGCUGGCUCGGGUGCUAAGCCCCUCACUGCCUCGGGCCAGCGGUGCCGACCCGCCGCUCCAAGUGCGGGGCGGGCGGAGCCCGCGCCCACCUGGAACUCGCGCGGGCCCGCCAGCGCCAACCGCAGCCGCGGUUCCCGCCCGCGCCUCUCCCUCCACACCUCCCCGCAAGCAGAGGGAGCCGGCUCCGGCCUUGGCCAGCCCAGAGACAGGCUCCCACAGUGCAGCGGCGGGCUGAAGGGCUCCUCAAGCACUGCCAGAGUGGACACCGAGGCCGAGGAGACGCCAAGAGCGAUGAAACAAGCUUCUGGUUCAAGAGUUUCUUCAGGUUCCACUACGGGCUGUUCUUCUACAGGUGCGCCGAUGUCCACAGUGCUACCUUCUGAUGAGCUACUGCUUUCAUUCAGUUUCUGAGUGAUGGUGAGGAGGAAUUGUGCCAGCUUGCUUCUUCACUGCCAUUUUGGAACCAGAACUCAGGUGAUGACUUUUUAGAUAUAACACCAAAGGCACGAUCCAUGAAAAAAAAGAAUUGACAAUCUGAUAUCAUUAAAAUGAAAAAUUUUGCUCUGUGAAAGAUACUAUCAAGAGAAUAGGAAGGCAAGCCACAUACUAAGAAAAAUAUUUGCAAAAGACAUGUCUGAUAAAGGACUGUUACCCCAAACAUGCAAAAAAUUAUUAAAGCUCAACAAUAAGAAAAUGAACAAUCUGAAUAAAAAAUGGGCCAAAGACCUGAACAGACACUUCACCAAAGAAGACACACAGAUGGCAAAUAAGCAUAUGAGAAGAAGAUGCCCCACAUCCAUCAUAUGUCAUUAGUGAAAUGCAAAUUAAAACAAUAAGAUAGCACUACACCCUCAUUAGAAUGGUCGAAGUCCAGAACACUAACAACAUUAAAUGCUGAUGAGGAUAUGGAGCAAUAGAAGCUCACAUUCAUUGCUGGUGGGCAAGCAAAAUGGUACAGCAACUUGGAAGACAGUUUAGCAGUUUCUUAAAAACCAAACAUACUCUUACCAUAUGAUCCAGCAAUUGCAUACCUUAGGAUUUAACCAAAGGAGUUGAAAACUUAUGUCCACACAAAAUCCUGCACACGGAUGUAUACAGCAGCCUUAUUCAUAAUUGCCCAAACCUGGAAGCAACCAAGAUGUCCUUCAGUAGGUGAAUGGAUAAAUAACCUGUGGUACAUCCAGACAAUGGAAUAUUACUCAGCAUUAAAGGAAAUGAGCUAUCAAGCCAUGAAAAGACAUGGAGAAACUUUAAAUACAUAUUACUAAUUGAAAGAAGCAAUCUAAAAUGGACAUACAGUAUGAUUCCAACUAUAUGACAUUAUGGAAAAGACAAAACUACAGAGACAAUAAAAAGAUCAGUGAUUGCCAGGGCAGUGAAAAUACUUUGCAUGACACUGUAAUAGUGGACACAUGUCAUUAUACAUUUGUGCAAACCCAUAGAAUGUACAAUACCAAGAUUGAAUUAUAAUGUAAACUAUGGACUUUGGGUGAUUAUGAUAUAUCAAAUUGGGUUCAUCAGUUGUAACUAUAUACAAUACCUAAACACUGUCUCUAAAAUAGCUCUUGAAUCAAAGAGGACUUUGAUUCUAAUACAUAUAAUAUAGCACAUAUGUUAAAAUAUACCUAUAUACAAUACAGGUAUAUUUGAACUGCGUUUAAUUUGUUAAUUUAGGGAAAAAAUUAAUUUUUUUCCUAAAUUAAUUUUCUUCCAUUGUAUUUUUUCUCUUCUAAAUAGAUUAUUUUUACAGUAAUACAUAUGUGCUACUCUGGUGCGAGAUAUUGAUAGUUGGGGGAGGCUCUGCGUGUGUAGAGAAAGGGGAAACUCUAUAUUUUUGGCUUAAUUUUGCUGUGAAUCUAAAACUACUGUAAAACUAGUCUAUUUCAAAGAGAAAAAGUACAAUGGAAGAAAUGUUUCUAAAUACAAUGUAAGCAUUUUUUAAAAGCUUUGAAUAAACCAAAAGUAAAUAUAAAUGGAUGGAAAGUUAUAUCCUAUUAUUAGAUAGGAAUGCUAUAUCAUAAAGAUAUUAAUUUUCCCUAAAUUAAUAAAUUAAAUGCAGCCUUUGAAAAAUAAUCACAAAAUUCAUAUAACUAGAGAAAUCUAUUUGAGACUUCAUGUGGAAAAAUAAGCAAACAAGAAUAACCAGAAAAUUCUUAAAAUGAAUUUUGGUUUCAAAGUCCUCACUGAUGCAAGAACUAUUUAAAAGAAAGUGUUUAAAUUUUUCAAAUGAUAGAUUUUCCUUCUAAGUUUUAAAUUUAUGUUUAGUUUUAUUACCCUAUGCUCUGAUAAUGUAGUUCGUACCAUUUCUGUUUCUUGGAAUUUAUUGUGAUUU
This is a long non-coding RNA of Homo sapiens (human), 2445 nucleotides long. Ensembl annotates it as SCN1A and SCN9A antisense RNA 1. Its record names the gene SCN1A-AS1. The record is from Ensembl. NCBI's taxonomy places the organism in Eukaryota, Metazoa, Chordata, Mammalia, Primates, Hominidae.